This 274-nucleotide ribosomal RNA is filed under the name uncultured bacterium. RNAcentral describes it as "partial 16S ribosomal RNA". It matches the Rfam family "Bacterial small subunit ribosomal RNA", at positions 523 to 796 of the family's 1533-position model. The record is from RNAcentral.
AUACGGAGGGUGCAAGCGUUACUCGGAAUCACUGGGCGUAAAGCGCGCGCAGGCGGCUUGAUAAGUUGGAUGUGAAAGCCUACGGCUCAACCGUAGAACUGCAUCCAAAACUGUCAAGCUAGAGUCUGGGAGGGGAAGAUGGAAUUAGUUGUGUAGGGGUAAAAUCCGUAGAGAUAACUAGGAAUACCAAAAGCGAAGGCGAUCUUCUGGAACAGUACUGACGCUGAGGCGCGAAAGCGUGGGAAGCAAACAGGAUUAGAAACCCCGGUAGUCC